This 510-nucleotide ribosomal RNA is filed under the name uncultured bacterium. RNAcentral's name for it is "partial 16S ribosomal RNA". It matches the Rfam family "Bacterial small subunit ribosomal RNA", at positions 28 to 507 of the family's 1533-position model. The record is from RNAcentral.
GACGAACGCUGGCGGCGUGCUUAACACAUGCAAGUCGAACGAAGAGCGAUGGAAGCUUGCUUCUAUCAAUCUUAGUGGCGCACGGGUGAGUAACGCGUAAUCAACCUGCCCUUCAGAGGGGGACAACAGUUGGAAACGACUGCUAAUACCGCAUACGAUCUAAUCUCGGCAUCGAGGAUAGAUGAAAGGUGGCCUCUACAUGUAAGCUAUCACUGAAGGAGGGGAUUGCGUUUGAUUAGCUAGCUGGAGGGGUAACGGCCCACCAAGGCGAUGAUCAGUAGCCGGUCUGGGGAGAUGAACGGCCACAUUGGGACUGGGACACGGCCCAGGCUCCUACGGGAAGCAACAGUGGGGAAUCUUCCGCAAUGGACGAAAGUCUGACGGAACAACGCCGCGUGGGUGAUGACGGCCUUCGGGUUGUAAAGCUCUGUUAAUCGGGACGAAAGGCCUUCUUGCGAAUAGUGAGAAGGAUUGACGGUACCGGAAUAGAAAGCCACGGCUAACUACGUG